GUCUGUAUGUGAAGCUCUGUAACAUGCUUUUAAGGGGAAAAAGUAUUUUAUUUGUUUUUAUCCAGAUAUUUUACUGUUUUUAUCCAAAUUUUAAUUGGGGAUAUUUUACUGUUUUAAUCCAAAUUUUAAUUGGGGAUAUUUUACUGUUUUUAUCCAAAUUUUAAUUGGGGAUAUUUAACUGUUUUUACUGGAACAAACUGAGAGUGAGGUGGUUCAGUCUGCAUGUGAAGCUCUGUAACAUGCUUUUAAGGGGAAAAAAUAUUUUAUUUGAUUUUAUGCAAAUUUUAAUUGGGGAUAUUUUACUGUUUUUAUCCAAAUUUUAAUUGGGGAUAUUUUAUUGUUUUUACUGGAACAAACUGAGAGUGAGGUGGCUCAGUCUGCAUGUGAAGCUCUGUAACAUGCUUUUAAGGGGAAAAAGUAUUUUAUUUGUUUUUAUCCAGAUAUUUUACUGUUUUUAUCCAAAUUUUAAUUGGGGAUAUUUUACUGUUUUUAUCCAAAUUUUAAUUGGGGAUAUUUUAUUGUUUUUACUGGAACAAACUGAGAGUGAGGUGGCUCAGUCUGCAUGUGAAGCUCUGUAACAUGCUUUUAAGGGGAAAAAGUAUUUUAUUUGUUUUUAUCCAAAUUUUAAUUGGGGAUAUUUUACUGUUUUUAUCCAAAUUUUAAUUGGGGAUAUUUUACUGUUUUUAUCCAAAUCUUAAUUGGGGAUAUUUUACUGUUUUUAUCCAAAUUUUAAUUGGGAAUAUUUUACUGUUUUUACUGGAACAAACUGAGAGUGAUGGGCUCAGUCUGCAUGUGAAGCUCUGUAACAUGCUUUUAAGGGGAAAAAAGUAUUUUAUUUGAUUUUAUGCAAAUUUUAAUUGGGGAUAUUUUACUGUUUUUAUCCAAAUUUUAAUUGGCGAUAUUUUAUUGUUUUUACUGGAACAAACUGAGAGUGAGGUGGCUCAGUCUGCAUGUGAAGCUCUGUAACAUGCUUUUAAGGGGAAAAAGUAUUUUAUUUGUUUUUAUCCAAAUUUUAAUUGGGGAUAUUUUACUGUUUUAUCCAAAUUUUAAUUGGGGAUAUUUUACUGUUUUUAUCCAAAUUUUAAUUGGGGAUAUUUUACUGUUUUUAUCCAAAUUUUAAUUGGGGAUAUUUUACUGUUUUUAUCCAAAUUUUAAUUGGGGAUAUUUUACUGUUUUAUCCAAAUUUUAAUUGGGGAUAUUUUAUUGUUUUUACUGGAACAAACUGAGAGUGAGGUGGCUCAGUCUGCAUGUGAAGCUCUGUAACAUGCUUUUAAGGGGAAAAAAGUAUUUUAUUUGUUUUUAUGCAAAUUUUAAUUGGGGAUAUUUUACUGUUUUUAUCCAAAUUUUAAUUGGGGAUAUUUUAUUGUUUUUACUGGAACAAACUGAGAGUGAGGUGGCUCAGUCUGCAUGUGAAGCUCUGUAACAUGCUUUUAAGGGGAAAAAAUAUUUUAUUUGAUUUUAUGCAAAUUUUAAUUGGGGAUAUUUUACUGUUUUUAUCCAAAUUUUAAUUGGGGAUAUUUUAUUGUUUUUACUGGAACAAACUGAGAGUGAGGUGGCUCAGUCUGCAUGUGAAGCUCUGUAACAUGCUUUUAAGGGGAAAAAGUAUUUUAUUUGUUUUUAUCCAGAUAUUUUACUGUUUUUAUCCAAAUUUUAAUUGGGGAUAUUUUACUGUUUUUAUCCAAAUUUUAAUUGGGGAUAUUUUAUUGUUUUUACUGGAACAAACUGAGAGUGAGGUGGCUCAGUCUGCAUGUGAAGCUCUGUAACAUGCUUUUAAGGGGAAAAAAGUAUUUUAUUUGUUUUUAUGCAAAUUUUAAUUGGGGAUAUUUUACUGUUUUUAUCCAAAUUUUAAUUGGGGAUAUUUUAUUGUUUUUACUGGAACAAACUGAGAGUGAGGUGGCUCAGUCUGCAUGUGAAGCUCUGUAACAUGCUUUUAAGGGGAAAAAAUAUUUUAUUUGAUUUUAUGCAAAUUUUAAUUGGGGAUAUUUUACUGUUUUUAUCCAAAUUUUAAUUGGGGAUAUUUUAUUGUUUUUACUGGAACAAACUGAGAGUGAGGUGGCUCAGUCUGCAUGUGAAGCUCUGUAACAUGCUUUUAAGGGGAAAAAGUAUUUUAUUUGUUUUUAUCCAGAUAUUUUACUGUUUUUAUCCAAAUUUUAAUUGGGGAUAUUUUACUGUUUUUAUCCAAAUUUUAAUUGGGGAUAUUUUAUUGUUUUUACUGGAACAAACUGAGAGUGAGGUGGCUCAGUCUGCAUGUGAAGCUCUGUAACAUGCUUUUAAGGGGAAAAAAGUAUUUUAUUUGUUUUUAUGCAAAUUUUAAUUGGGGAUAUUUUACUGUUUUUAUCCAAAUUUUAAUUGGGGAUAUUUUAUUGUUUUUACUGGAACAAACUGAGAGUGAGGUGGCUCAGUCUGCAUGUGAAGCUCUGUAACAUGCUUUUAAGGGGAAAAAAGUAUUUAAUUUGUUUUAAUGCAAAUUUUAAUUGGGGAUAUUUUACUGUUUUUAUCCAAAUUUUAAUUGGGGAUAUUUUACUGUUUUUACUGGAACAAACUGAGAGUGAGGUGGCUCAGUCUGCAUGUUGCUCUGUAACAUGCUUUUAAGGGGGAAAAAGUAUUUUAUUUGUUUUUAUCCAAAUUUUAAUUUGGAAUAUUUUACUGUUUUUAUCCAAAUUUUAAUUUGGAAUAUUUUACUGUUUUUAUCCAAAUUUUAAUUUGGAAUAUUUUACUGUUUUUAUCCAAAUUUUAAUUGGGGAUAUUUUUAUUGUUUUUACUGGAACAAACUGAGAGUGAGGUGGCUCUGUGAGUGAGGUGAGUCUGCAUGUGAAGCUCUGUAACAUGCUUUUAAGGGGAAAAAAGUAUUUUAUUUGUUUUUAUCCAAAUUUUAAUUGGGGAUAUUUUACUGUUUUAUCCAAAUUUUAAUUGGGGAUAUUUUACUGUGUUAUCCAAAUUUUAAUUGGGGAUAUUUUACAGUUUUAUCCAAAUUUUAAUUGGGGAUAUUUUAUUUUAUCCAAAUUUUAAUUGGGGAUAUUUUACUGUUUUUACGGGAACAAACUGAGAGUGAGGUAGCUCAGUCUGCAUGUGAAUCUCUGUAACAUGCUUUUAAGGGGAAAAAAGUAUUUUAUUUGUUUUUAUCCAAAUUUUAAUUAGGGAUAUUUUACUGUUUUUAUCCAAAUUUUAAUUGGGGAUAUUUUACUGUUUUUAUCCAAAUUUUAAUUGAGGGAUAUUUUACUGUUUGUAUCCAAAUUUUAAUUGGGGAUAUUUUUCUGCAUUUAUCCAAAUUUUAAUCGGAUAUUUUAUUGUUUUUAUCUAAAUUUUAAUUAGGGAUAUUUUACUGUUUUUAUCUAAAUUUUAAUUGGAGAUAUUUUACUGUUUUUAUCCUAAUUUAUAAGUUGAGGCAGGUCAUUUUAUGAUUAUUUGGGAAAUGAGAGACUUUUUACAUUAUUUUAUCCAUUUGGGUGUGGGGGACAAAGGGAAUAUUUUACUUUUAAGACCAAAUUUUUAAUUUAUACAGGAGACCUUUUUUUUUAUCUUUUUUAGUUAAAUGUUGAGCCCCCAAGUCAAAUCAAAGACUUAAAAACUGGUACUCCAAAAGGAAAAGAUAGGUGACCUACUGUGGGCAUUUGUCUUGGUGAACUAGCACCUUAAAGUCCAGCUAACCCACAGGCCGGCUGGCUAGUACAAGCAGACAGGUAUUUUUAAUACCAUUUGGCAUUUUUAAACUUUGGCAUUUUUCAUUUGGCUUUUUGUUUUAUGUGUUUUUGAACUAUUUGGAUUUAUACCAUUUGUCAAUUUUCAUUUAUGUUUUUUUCAUUUUUUUCAACAUAUUUUGUAAUCAACACACCAAAAACACUUCAAAAUUAAGAGUGGGAUAUAUACUUUUUGGCCUCCAUAAUG
Mytilus californianus (California mussel) is the source of this 3885-nucleotide long non-coding RNA. RefSeq lists it as uncharacterized. Lineage: Eukaryota; Metazoa; Mollusca; Bivalvia; Mytilida; Mytilidae. The record is from RefSeq and is a predicted model, not a curated record. The transcript has 7 exons.